This 76-nucleotide transfer RNA is filed under the name Proteus phage 3H10_20. Its description in RNAcentral is "tRNA-Arg". It matches the Rfam family "tRNA". Rfam says of the family: Transfer RNA (tRNA) molecules are approximately 80 nucleotides in length. Their secondary structure includes four short double-helical elements and three loops (D, anti-codon, and T loops). Further hydrogen bonds mediate the characteristic L-shaped molecular structure. tRNAs have two regions of fundamental functional importance: the anti-codon, which is responsible for specific mRNA codon recognition, and the 3' end, to which the tRNAs corresponding amino acid is attached (by aminoacyl-tRNA synthetases). tRNAs cope with the degeneracy of the genetic code in two manners: having more than one tRNA (with a specific anti-codon) for a particular amino acid; and 'wobble' base-pairing, i.e. permitting non-standard base-pairing at the 3rd anti-codon position. Lineage: Duplodnaviria; Heunggongvirae; Uroviricota; Caudoviricetes; Grimontviridae. The record is from RNAcentral.
ACCCUGUUAGCUCAGUGGAGAGAGCAACGAUCUUCUAAAUCGUAGGUCACAGGUUCGAAUCCUGUACAGGGUGCCA